RNAcentral lists this ribosomal RNA (447 nucleotides) under Pseudoramibacter alactolyticus. RNAcentral's name for it is "bacterial SSU rRNA". It matches the Rfam family "Bacterial small subunit ribosomal RNA", at positions 28 to 477 of the family's 1533-position model. The record is from RNAcentral. Lineage: Bacteria; Bacillati; Bacillota; Clostridia; Eubacteriales; Eubacteriaceae.
GACGAACGCUGGCGGUAUGCUUAACACAUGCAAGUCGAACGAGAAGUUUUUUAUUGAACCUUCGGGGGAUAUAAGAGACAGACAGUGGCGAACGGGUGAGUAACGCGUGGGCAACCUACCUAUCGGAGCGGGAUAGCCUCGAGAAAUCGGGAGUAAAACCGCAUAACACGGAUAUAUCGCAUGAUGAAUCCGUCAAAACUCCGGUGCCGAUAGAUGGGCCCGCGUCUGAUUAGCUAGUUGGUAAGGUAAGGGCUUACCAAGGCAACGAUCAGUAGCCGGUUUGAGAGGGCGAACGGCCACACUGGAACUGAGACACGGUCCAGACUCCUACGGGAGGCAGCAGUGGGGAAUAUUGCGCAAUGGGGGCAACCCUGACGCAGCAAUACCGCGUGAGGAAGAAGGUUUUCGGAUCGUAAAGCUCUGUUAUUGGGAAGAAGCAGGACGGUA